UGUCAAAUAUGGGAAGGCUGACUAAAAUCUUAGCUUAGGUUAACGAUAGGUAUCGGACUGACACUGGCUGCGACUGGUUUAAAUACUGUUAGUUCGUAAGGACGGGCGUCAUUUAUUCCACUUUCAAACUGAGGACUGAGAUGGGAACCAACCACAGGAGGAACCCGAGUAGCAGAGCCACGUGUGAACACGACUCAAUUGCAGGUUAUGAGAAACGGCUCGCGCCGCCGACCCUUACAAGCCGUUCACCAGACUCAUUGGAAAGAGUCUGCCGGGACACGAGCCUGAGCGCGGCAAAGAAAGGGCGGCCGUCUCGGGGAAGCCACACGCGGGCGGGACCUCCAGCCCCUUCCCCGCCCGGUGCCCAGACCAGAAGCACUCGCCGCCGGCUGGACAAACCACAGCAACUGUCUGUUCCUCCCUCACCCAGCGCAGGGAAGCCUCGCAACGGCUGCCGUGGGGGGGCAGGGGACAACUCUUCGCUUCGCCCCGCUUCGUGCCUGUACUGGCAGUGGGGCCGCCGACACCCGCGGGCGUCGAAAGGGCAGGAGAAGCUCCUGAAGUAACCCGCGGACCGCAGCAUCCCCACCCGGUGGCACCCACCCCCGCCGAGGAAAGGCGCACACCCCGCAUAAAGAUCAAGAGUGAAUUUGGCUGAGCCCUGCCCUUCUUAUAGACAUCAGCUAUGCACUUACCAGCAUAAAUCAAGAAAGACACAGGCAAAUGGAAACAAACGGCUGAAAUAUUUUGUUGUUGUUAUUAUUGACGUGGUGCUAUCAAUAUGCAUAAUUGGAGAACUUUGCUGUUUCUACUAUCACCAGUUUGUGGUCAAGAAUGUUGGCUGGCCAUUUGUUCAGGAAGCCAGCUUAUAUUUCUUAAGUUGGUCUAGAAUUGCCUCUACUUCAGACAAAUUUUAGAAGACUGAAAACCCUAACAGAAAGCUUAUUGUGAAGCAGUUAUUGGAAGGGGUAGCACAAUAUCAGUAGAAAAAGAAAGAGGAGAGAAAAGACAUAUCCUUUCACAAAUGAUGGAAUACUUUACAUGUUACACUUCUUAGAUAUACUUUAAGUGUACAUCUAAAAAUGUUAAAUGUAAAUAUGACAAAUACAUUCUUAUGAAUGCACAUACUGUAUCAACUUGUCAGGGGACCAGAGUUCUCUGUGCCUGCCUUUUAAGUGUAAUUACAAUGGCAUUUCAAGGCUUUUUUACAAUGCAGGGGCAGAACUACAAUUGAGUAAAUGUGUGCAAUGAAUAUGGGCUACCAGUAGGGGGAGCUGUGCCUGAAUUUCUGACAAAUCAUAAUUUCCCCAUAGGGAUUGAUGGGAAACACAAAAAUAUUAAUAAAUCCUGAAUGGCUAGGCAGAACGUUCUGAAAUUUCACAUGGUGUUCUUAAAUGAUAGCAAUAAAAUGUGUGGACAUUAAAGGAGAUCAGCUCAUCCGUUGAUUUUUGAGUAUUUUUGUAAUUAAUUUUUUUAAAAAAAAUCAUUAAAAUCAAUAACUGAUCUCCUUGAACAUCCACACAUUUAAUGCUACCAUCAUGUGCUACCACCAUAUUAACUUUGGGGAUGUUCUGCCCAGUCAUUCUGGGUGCAAAAUUGCAGGUACUACUCCUUUUAUUUGGAGGCAAGGGACAGUUUCCUCCAGCUGAGGCUUGAAUGAAAGACAGAGUUGGAAUUCAGUUUCAGAAUCUUUUGUAACUUUGUGCAAUGAAAUAAAGCUGUUAUGACACUUUUAAACAGUUUUAGAAUUCAAUCCAUCAGUUGAAACUUUAAAA
Hemicordylus capensis (graceful crag lizard) is the source of this 1775-nucleotide long non-coding RNA. RefSeq lists it as uncharacterized. The record is from RefSeq and is a predicted model, not a curated record. NCBI's taxonomy places the organism in Eukaryota, Metazoa, Chordata, Lepidosauria, Squamata, Cordylidae. The transcript has 3 exons.